AGCGAACGCUGGCGGCAGGCUUAACACAUGCAAGUCGAGCGGGCCCUUCGGGGUCAGCGGCAGACGGGUGAGUAACACGUGGGAACGUACCCUUUGGUUCGGAAUAACGCUGGGAAACUAGCGCUAAUACCGGAUACGCCCUUUUGGGGAAAGGCUUGCUGCCGAAGGAUCGGCCCGCGUCUGAUUAGCUAGUUGGUGGGGUAAUGGCCUACCAAGGCGACGAUCAGUAGCUGGUCUGAGAGGAUGAUCGGCCACACUGGGACUGAGACACGGCCCAGACUCCUACGGGAGGCAGCAGUGGGGAAUAUUGGACAAUGGGCGCAAGCCUGAUCCAGCCAUGCCGCGUGAGUGAUGAAGGCCUUAGGGUUGUAAAGCUCUUUUGUCCGGGACGAUAAUGACGGUACCGGAAGAAUAAGCCCCGGCUAACUUCGUG
Molecule: ribosomal RNA, 433 nt
Filed under: uncultured bacterium
Lineage: Bacteria
Description: partial 16S ribosomal RNA
Rfam family: Bacterial small subunit ribosomal RNA
Source: RNAcentral